AGACGUCUACAUUAGAUACCCGUGUAGUCCCAGCCGUAAACUAUGCGCGUUAGGUGUAUCGGUGACCACGAGUUACCGAGGUGCCGAAGGGAAACCGUGAAACGUGCCGCCUGGGAAGUACGGUCGCAAGGCUGAAACUUAAAGGAAUUGGCGGAGGAGCACCACAACAGGUGGAGCCUGCGGUUUAAUUGGACUCAACGCCGGGAAGCUCACCGGAUAGGACAGCGGAAUGAUUGCCGGGCUGAAGACUCUGCAUGACUAGCUG
This 265-nucleotide ribosomal RNA is filed under the name uncultured archaeon. Its description in RNAcentral is "partial 16S ribosomal RNA". It matches the Rfam family "Archaeal small subunit ribosomal RNA", at positions 717 to 982 of the family's 1478-position model. The record is from RNAcentral.